GGGGGCCUCCGUGCUGGUCGCGGGUCCCGGCGCGAAGCCUUUCGGAAAGCUCCGCGGCCUGUGUGUUCUGCUUCCUCGGACGCGAGCUGCGUCCCAGUAGUGGAGGAAGGUUUUAUUUCGUUCAUCGCGGCCGUUUCUCGCUGCCUCCCUUGACGAGGCAGGACCUUCCCGCCCUCCGGCAGGUGCUGUUGGUCCCUGUGGCCGGGCCGCCGAGGCUGCCGGGAGGAGGGCGGCCUGGCCGUUCCCGGCGUGCCCCGGGCUCCUCGGAAGCGGCCUCCGCCCCUUCAGACGUCGGACCCGAGUUCCAAAUGUGCCCCGCGGUUUUCCCGCACCCUGGAUCCUAGGAGCCGCCUCUCGUUUUCGAAGUUCCUGUGCAGCGCUCCCCCGACAUUUUCGAGAAUCUUACCAGGACUGGGCACGGGUUUGCAGCCUCCGUUUUGCCCCCGCUUUUCGAACGCCGGAAUCUCGGCCCGGCCUGCCGGCCUGUGUUCUGCGGUGGGAUGUCUCCGGAGCACGGACGGACUGAACAUUCCCGUUACCGGGAGUGUAAUGGUUGCUGCGUCAGGACUCUUGAAAUGAUUUUUUUAUUUGGAACGAUACCAUAAUAUUUGGAAUUUUCUUAAAGGAGAAAAUAUAUAUUGCUUAAUUAUAUUGCUUGGAAUAUAUUAUUCCAAGGAAGAAGAAAGUAAGACCCUUUCUUCCCCCACCUCCAAACCCGCUCGCCGCCUGCCUUUCCCAUCAGCAUUAAUGGCGGCUGCAUUUACUCAGGCCAGAGCCGGAAGAGCCAGCUUCACUCUCACACCCUCGACACAACCUGACUGGAAAUCCUGUUGACGCUACCUUAAGUAUGUGUCUAGGAUGCAGCACCUCAACAUGUCCGCACCCCCUUCAUCCCUCGCCUGAGUACCUCGGUCUCCUGCCCUCCCUACGCUCCCAGUCGCCGGGUUUCCAUACGGCAGCCGCAGGGAUCCUGUGGGUUCUGUGCUCCACGCUGCACAGCGGCUCCUCAGUUUACCAAAGUCCUUACAAUGGCCGCAGAGCCGGCCAACCCGCUGGUUGCCUAGCUGUCUGACUUGAUGUCCGCGUCCUCUGGCCUCUGCACUGGCUGCUGUCUACUUGUAAAACCCCCCGUCCAGGCGUGUCCAGGACUGACCCCUUCAGCUCUCUCAAAUCUUCACUCCCAUGUCACCUCAGUGAGGCCUUUCCUGACCGACCUAUUUAAACGUGGCCCUGACCCAGAGCACUGCUAGUCUCCCUUGGCCUGCUCCACUCUUCCCACGACACUCACUCACCGCCUCCUAAAAUACUCGCUGUGUUUACCAUGUAUUGUUUGUCUCCCGCUACUAAAAUUUAAGUUCCCUGAGUGGAGGCACUUUUGACUUUUGAUUGCCUGCUGUAUCCAGGUGCCUGCAACAGUUGCCUGGCACAUAGUAGCAGCUCAGCACACAUUUGUGGAAUAAAUGAACGAAUGAAUGAACUUGAACAACUAUUUUCAUUGUAGAGUAUUCCCCUUCAGGCUUCUCUCACAUGGAAAUAUAUGAACAUAGUUACAAGCACAGUAUACAUAUUUUGCAUUAUGAUUUCUAAUACCAUACUUUACAUAUUUCUAAGUAUUUUCAUAAUUAUAACCAUUUUUACUUAAGUGACCUUCGAUUUUUCAUGCUUAUUAUAACAAGUCAUACAGAGUUGUGUAAACAAAAAAUUGUCUCCUGUCCCCCUCUCAUCCCACCCUGCUGAAAGGAACCACUGUUUUAAACUAGUGGAUAUCUUUCCAAAUAUUUUUAUACACAUACGCGUGCGCGCACACACACACACACAUAACAGGUACAAAUUUCACAGUUCAAAGACAGAUAUUCCUGAAUUGUAACUAUAAUUCGAGUCAAUUUGUAUUUUAGGUGUUUCCUCCCAUAGUAGAAAAAUGAAAUCUAGUUUAUUUAAGGUAAAUGUUAGUAUGUAAUGAUGUUUAUUUAUUAAUGGUCAGUUACAAUUUCAGUUGCUUCAGAAUUUACUAAUGCCCUUUUCACCAUAUAAUUGCCAGUUUUAAAACGUUGUUAUUAAAAAUGUGCAAUAAUUACAGGAAAAUAGAAAAUGAUAAAAUAAAAAAGCAAAAACCACCUGUAACUCCAGCAGCCA
Macaca fascicularis (crab-eating macaque) is the source of this 2133-nucleotide long non-coding RNA. NCBI's taxonomy places the organism in Eukaryota, Metazoa, Chordata, Mammalia, Primates, Cercopithecidae. The record is from Ensembl.